This 520-nucleotide ribosomal RNA is filed under the name uncultured Glomus. RNAcentral's name for it is "SSU rRNA". It matches the Rfam family "Eukaryotic small subunit ribosomal RNA", at positions 569 to 1090 of the family's 1831-position model. Lineage: Eukaryota; Fungi; Glomeromycota; Glomeromycetes; Glomerales; Glomeraceae. The record is from RNAcentral.
AGCAGCCGCGGUAAUUCCAGCUCCAAUAGCGUAUAUUAAAGUUGUUGCAGUUAAAAAGCUCGUAGUUGAAUUUCGGGAUCAAUUAAUUGGUCGUGCCUCUGGUACGUACUGAUUUUAUUGGUUUCUCCCUUCUGACGAACCAUGAUGUCAUUAAUUUGGUGUCGUGGAGAAUCAGGACUGUUACUUUGAAAAAAUUAGAGUGUUUAAAGCAAGCUAACGCUUGAAUACAUUAGCAUGGAAUAAUGAAAUAGGACGUUUGAUCCUAUUUUGUUGGUUUCUAGGAUCGACGUAAUGAUUAAUAGGGAUAGUUGGGGGCAUUAGUAUUCAAUUGUCAGAGGUGAAAUUCUUGGAUUUAUUGAAGACUAACUACUGCGAAAGCAUUUGCCAAGGAUGUUUUCAUUAAUCAAGAACGAAAGUUAGGGGAUCGAAGACGAUCAGAUACCGUCGUAGUCUUAACCAUAAACUAUGCCGACUAGGGAUCGGAUGGUGUUAAUUUUUAAUGUACUCAUUCGGCGCCUUA